RNAcentral lists this ribosomal RNA (253 nucleotides) under uncultured bacterium. RNAcentral's name for it is "partial 16S ribosomal RNA". It matches the Rfam family "Bacterial small subunit ribosomal RNA", at positions 524 to 776 of the family's 1533-position model. The record is from RNAcentral.
GACGAAGGGGGCUAACGUUGUUCGGAAUUACUGGGCGUAAAGCGAGUGUAGGUGGUUGUCCAAGUUGGAUGUGAAAGCCUUGAGCUCAACUCAAGAAAUGCAUUCAGGACUGGGCGGCUAGAGGACCGGAGAGGAUAAUGGAAUUCCCAGUGUAGUGGUGAAAUACGUAGAGAUUGGGAAGAACACCAGUGGCGAAGGCGGCUAUCUGGACGGUUUCUGACACUAAGACUCGAAAGCGUGGGGAGCAAACAGG